Long non-coding RNA from Megalopta genalis, 874 nucleotides. RefSeq lists it as uncharacterized. The record is from RefSeq and is a predicted model, not a curated record. Lineage: Eukaryota; Metazoa; Arthropoda; Insecta; Hymenoptera; Halictidae.
UCAAGGUGUAUCCGUUCCCAAUUGAUCAUUGAUUGUUACUGACAAAACAUUCGAGGCCAAUGAUGCAUCCAUGUGCGUGUCACACUGUUUAUAUUAUUCAACCGGGGAUGUAUCGUAUAUAUUAUAAUCUUGCAACGAUAGGUUUCGUGUUGCGCGAAGGUGAGACGCGCCGCGGGGAAGACGGAGUCUCGAGCAAAACAAAGAGAGUCAUUUACGCUGCGAGCGAAAAUCACGCACGCCGAAAUCGUACAAUCGAGCGCGCCAAUUAGCGUCGAACUCGCGGCCAGUAGACCUUUGCGCGCGCCAAUCAGCGUCGCGAAAUUGAACUUCGUGCAAUGGGGACACUCUCCAUGGUCCGGAUUCGGUUACUAAGAUCGCGAACGCGACACCGAUCAGACAGCAUUUCGUUCCAUCUGACGGAGUUUUUUUGCAAAUUUUCCUCCAAUAAUCACUUUUUUUACUAAAUUCUCACUACCCGUAACUCCAAAUACGUCAAUUAUCUGGUAAGCCUGGAUUACAGGCUGGAACGGAUUCAAUCACAUAGCACUCCAAAAAAAGAAAAAAACGAUCAGGCAGCGUUUCUCCGGGAGCCCGACAGUAAGGAGAUUUUGCGUAACUGGCUCCCAAAAAGCUCUAUGCCGCCGCCCCCAUUCGGGUCCCAGGUCCUUCUGGUUCCGCGCGGGAAUUAGAUCUCGUGGCACGUGCGAGUUGAAGGCGUGCAAAAUCUUCGUUGGUUCUCCAGUUUGUCCGAGCGACUCGUCCGCAAUUUGGGCCAUUUUUCGAGAUUUUGGGUCAGGUUCCCGAUUUUUUUCAUUUUUUCAUUAAAUAUUUAUUGAUUAAAUAUUUAUAUAUUAAUAAAUAAUUUAAAAAUAUA